GUACUCCAUUUAGCCACGUGCCCACGUGCUGCGCAUGGUCCAGGUGGCCAGGUCUGGAUUGGACCCACGCGUCAGUCCAAGCCCCUCUGUCCUCAAUCUCCGUCCCGGAGCUCGUCUCCCCCGUCCAGCAGUCGAUGCCCACCUCGCGCGACCACGCAUCAUCGCCGGCCGCCGUCCCUACCGCAUCUCCCUGAGCUAGCAGCCUCCUUCCUGUGGCCCAAGUUGCUCGUAGCCUCCUUCCUCCGGCACACGCAAGCACGCACGCUGGCCCAAGCACCCAGGCUGUGCGUAGCCGGGAGGAAGCAGGACGCGGCCGGCCAAGGUCAGCGGCUGGAGCGUGCCAUGGCGUCCAGCGAGCGAGAUGGCCGCUGGCGGUCAGUGAUCUGACCAGAUCCGAGCUCGCCGGACUGGUGGCGGCGCGCUGAAGGCAGGGGCACACCAGGUGUUCGAUCAAAUGCGUGCCCUUGGAGAUGCGCUAACCAAUCUUGUUUUUGGCCGUGGCUCCGUCAGCAUCGAGUAUGGUGACGGCGGCGCUUCCCGAGGAAAAUCAGCGGCGCCAUCCAGUUUACCCGAUGAAGUGUUGUCAUUGUAAACCUUGUACCUCCACUCGAGGCAGCAAUCAGGUGUUUUCCUCGAGGAGCAAAUUCUGCAACCUGUACUUGUGGGAGAAUGUUUUCGGUAUCAGGAAAGUGUCACCAAAACGUCCCAGGGAUUGUUUGCAGUUGUGCAGGCAAGCCAGACAGGGAGAACAAGUUCAUCCACUAGAACAAAGUGCCCUGCGAUGCUAAGCCUGUUAAGGACGGAAGAUGGAGGGUGGUAUUGGUAUUUAUGUGCGCACAGGGUGUUGCAUAACCAUGAACUCCUCGGAACUUGUAGUGCACGUGGGGUUCCUAAUCUUGAAGUCAGAAGGGCCUUCACGACCGGAGCAAGCGCCACCCGGACCAGAUUGGCAUUUCACUUGAGAUGGUGUUCUGAUGACCUCCUGAAGUAUGGAUCCGCCCGCUUCUGUAUCGAGCGAUGGUCGAUGGCAAUGGUUAUGCGGAUUGCGGAACAUGCGUUUUCCGUAACUGCGCACACGCUACGAUAUUUUCGAAGUAUUGGUUUGCACAAAUACUACAUACAAGAUUGCACAUCCCUUCACCCAGAAGAAAGUUCCCCUACAGAAAUGCCGAAGGGAAACUCGACGAGGCAUGGAUCACAUACCUUGUUUGUUGUAUCCUUGCUGCCGGUUCUUGAAGAGAAGAUGGCGUCCUUUCCCUGGGGCUGCACCAGCGUCCAGUCUGUGAGCUACAAAUGAGGCACCGCGUUUAUAUCCUCCAUGAAAUUGCCAUGGGAUCACAACUUGGCCACUUGCGAGGGGACUUGCUUCAACUUGCGAGGGGCCAGUCGGUGUCGCUGCAGGUGCAGGAGCCGGAUGUGUGCACGGCAACGGCAAGAGCAGGGGUGGGUGGGGUCAAAGAUGAAAAUAAAGAAGCACGUGGGUUUAUAAUCUUUGACUUUGUGUAGAAUGUUUGUUUUAGCAGCUGAUCCUAUCAUACGGCGGCAUAUUUAGAUACUUUGAAUACUGAUACAAAGGAGUUGCUAUCCUUGGGAGAGAGGCGUUUUGGCGGCCGAGCUCCAUGGAGGCCUUUAUUUUUGAAAAAUUGAAAUUCAAACUUUUAAUUCUGAAAAAAUUAUGCCUCAAAGAAUACCUUGAGUAGUGACCUGUAAAAAAAGAUAAAUUCAUGGCCUGGACGGAUGAAUAGUAUCAUGUGCUAAACAGCCCUAGAUUUGUCUUUUUUGCACAAUCCUCAUUUCAAUGUAUUUUGCAGUUAAGCACAUACGUGUUAUACCUUCAUGU
Triticum aestivum (bread wheat) is the source of this 1840-nucleotide RNA transcript. RefSeq lists it as uncharacterized. Lineage: Eukaryota; Viridiplantae; Streptophyta; Magnoliopsida; Poales; Poaceae. The record is from RefSeq and is a predicted model, not a curated record. The transcript has 5 exons.